CCCCCCCGAACUCCCAGUUCGGGCGGGGCGGAAGCUGGCCUCCCGUGCGCGCCCGCGCGCGCGGUUAGCCCAAAAGCGAGUCCUCGGCGACGAGCGCCACGACAACCGGUGGUUUUUAGACCCUCGUUCCCCGUCGUGCGCGCCCCGCCGCCCGGUCUCAGGUCCCUCGCGCGUCGCCCCCGGCGGCGCUCACAACGC
This 198-nucleotide unclassified non-coding RNA is filed under the name Lithocarpus longzhouicus. RNAcentral describes it as "Castanopsis longzhouica internal transcribed space 2". Lineage: Eukaryota; Viridiplantae; Streptophyta; Magnoliopsida; Fagales; Fagaceae. The record is from RNAcentral.